AGACCAUGAGUUGGGCAUUGAACUAAGAGUUUCUUGAACCUCACCCAUGUUUCGUGGAUGGGUUCACAUUCUAAUAGCUUAAAACCUUGAAUGUUAUCUUUGAGUUU
Solanum tuberosum (potato) is the source of this 107-nucleotide non-coding RNA. The record is from Rfam. NCBI's taxonomy places the organism in Eukaryota, Viridiplantae, Streptophyta, Magnoliopsida, Solanales, Solanaceae.